UAACACAUGCAAGUCGAGCGGAGUUGAUCGACGGAAGCCUUCGGGCGGAAGAUGAUUAACUUAGCGGCGGAUGGGUGAGUAACGCGUGGGCAACCUGCCUCGAAGACCGGGAUAACAGUUCGAAAGGGCUGCUAAUACCGGAUGUGGUCAAGUGUCAGCAUGGGCAUUUGAUUAAAGGGGAAACCCGUUUCGAGAUGGGCCCGCGUCCUAUCAGCUAGUUGGUGAGGUAAAGGCUCACCAAGGCAAUGACGGGUAGCCGGCCUGAGAGGGUGACCGGCCACACUGGAACUGAGACACGGUCCAGACUCCUACGGGGGGCAGCAGUGGGGAAUCUUCCACAAUGGGCGAAAGCCUGAUGGAGCGACGCCGCGUGAGCGAAGAAGGCCUUCGGGUUGUAAAGCUCUGUCUGGAGGGACGAAGAAAGUGACGGUACCUCCGGAGGAAGCCACGGCUAACUACGUGCCAGCAGCCGCGGUAAUACGUAGGUGGCGAGCGUUGUCCGGAAUCACUGGGCGUAAAGGGCGCGCAGGCGGCGUGUCAAGUCGGACGUGAAAACCCCUGGCUCAACUGGGGGAUGUCGUUCGAAACUGGCA
Molecule: ribosomal RNA, 593 nt
Filed under: uncultured bacterium
Lineage: Bacteria
Description: bacterial SSU rRNA
Rfam family: Bacterial small subunit ribosomal RNA
Source: RNAcentral